GGGAGGCAGCAGUGGGGAAUAUUGGACAAUGGGCGAAAGCCUGAUCCAGCCAUGCCGCGUGUGUGAAGAAGGUCUUCGGAUUGUAAAGCACUUUAAGUUGGGAGGAAGGGCAGUUACCUAAUACGUGAUUGUUUUGACGUUACCGACAGAAUAAGCACCGGCUAACUCUGUGCCAGCAGCCGCGGUAAUA
This 190-nucleotide ribosomal RNA is filed under the name uncultured Pseudomonas sp. Its description in RNAcentral is "partial 16S ribosomal RNA". It matches the Rfam family "Bacterial small subunit ribosomal RNA", at positions 343 to 525 of the family's 1533-position model. Lineage: Bacteria; Pseudomonadati; Pseudomonadota; Gammaproteobacteria; Pseudomonadales; Pseudomonadaceae. The record is from RNAcentral.